GUGGAUGUAGCUCAGUUGGUAGAGUGCUUGCCUAGCAAACAAAAGGCCCUGGGUUCAAUCCCCAGCACCACA
Molecule: transfer RNA, 72 nt
Filed under: Ictidomys tridecemlineatus (thirteen-lined ground squirrel)
Lineage: Eukaryota; Metazoa; Chordata; Mammalia; Rodentia; Sciuridae
Description: Spermophilus tridecemlineatus (thirteen-lined ground squirrel) tRNA
Rfam family: tRNA
About the family: Transfer RNA (tRNA) molecules are approximately 80 nucleotides in length. Their secondary structure includes four short double-helical elements and three loops (D, anti-codon, and T loops).
Source: Rfam by way of RNAcentral